CAAUACCAUCAACCAAACUACCAAACCCAAACACAACACACUUCAUACCAACAACCAAACUUCCACACAAUAACACAACAAACACCUACUAACUACCCAUACCAAACACCAUAAAACCCAAUACACUACACUUCUCAAACCCAACAAUAACCAUACCUACGCCCCCCACAUAACUACACACCCAUCCCACCACCUAACUUUGAUUACUCUACU
This 213-nucleotide long non-coding RNA is filed under the name Lathyrus oleraceus (garden pea). RNAcentral describes it as "Pisum sativum (pea) long non-coding RNA (PSAT_LNC001070)". The record is from RNAcentral. Lineage: Eukaryota; Viridiplantae; Streptophyta; Magnoliopsida; Fabales; Fabaceae.